Long non-coding RNA from Sitophilus oryzae (rice weevil), 355 nucleotides. RefSeq lists it as uncharacterized. The transcript is spliced from 3 exons. The record is from RefSeq and is a predicted model, not a curated record. Lineage: Eukaryota; Metazoa; Arthropoda; Insecta; Coleoptera; Curculionidae.
UGUUGGCAUGGGUCUGUGCAUAAAGCCACCAUUUUUGGACAUUAAGGACCCGCAUGGAGACUGGUGACUUUUCAAAUUAAAUCCUGCUUGGUGAGAUUGCAUAUGCAUUGAGGGGAUAUAUGCAGAAAUAGAGCUGAAGAAAUGUUUCAGAAUUAUCGUUAUAUGGAAACGCCACUUUCCAAUAUGUGUUUUAUGGUAUAAGACCAAAAUUACAAAACACAAUGUCAGUUAUUGUUGCACAACAAUUUUGUUGUUUCAAUGUGCUACACAAUACAGCCAGAAUGAUGCCUGAACAAGAGCUGCCGCCGUUAGAUGAAAUAAAUAUGGACCAAAUUAAUAAGAAGAGAAAUAAUAA